GACGAACGCUGGCGGCGUGCUUAACACAUGCAAGUCGAACGGAAAGGCCCUGCUUUUGUGGGGUGCUCGAGUGGCGAACGGGUGAGUAACACGUUAGUAACCUGCCCUUUACUUUGGGAUAACUUCAGGAAACUGGGGCUAAUACCGGAUAGGAGCUCCUGCUGCAUGGUGGGGGUUGGAAAGUUUCGGCGGUUGGGGAUGGACUCGCGGCUUAUCAGCUUGUUGGUGGGGUAGUGGCUUACCAAGGCUUUGACGGGUAGCCGGCCUGAGAGGGUGACCGGCCACAUUGGGACUGAGAUACGGCCCAGACUCCUACGGGAGGCAGCAGUGGGGAAUAUUGCACAAUGGGCGGAAGCCUGAUGCAGCAACGCCGCGUGCGGGAUGACGGCCUUCGGGUUGUAAACCGCUUUCGCCUGUGACGAAGCGUGAGUGACGGUAAUGGGUAAAGAAGCACCGGCUAACUACGUG
This 468-nucleotide ribosomal RNA is filed under the name uncultured bacterium. RNAcentral describes it as "partial 16S ribosomal RNA". It matches the Rfam family "Bacterial small subunit ribosomal RNA", at positions 28 to 507 of the family's 1533-position model. The record is from RNAcentral.